Molecule: ribosomal RNA, 465 nt
Filed under: uncultured bacterium
Lineage: Bacteria
Description: bacterial SSU rRNA
Rfam family: Bacterial small subunit ribosomal RNA
Source: RNAcentral
AUGAACGUUGGCGGCGUGUUUAAGGCAUGCAAGUCGAGCGGAUCUUCUGUGAUUACAUCAAUGAAGAUUAGCGGCAAACGGGUGCGUAACACCUUGAUAACCUACCUCGAGGUCGUGAAAAACUUUGGGAAACUAAAGCUAAUACACGAUGGCCAAGGAUUGUCUCAAGACUUUCCUUGUAAAGCUUCGGCGCCUCGAGAGGGAUCUAGGCCUUAUCAGCUUGUUGGUGGGGUAAUGGCUCACCAAGGCUAUGACGAGUAGGGGGCGUGAGAGCGCGACCCCCCUCACUGGGACUGAGACACUGCCCAGACACCUACGGGUGGCUGCAGUCAAGAAUAUUCCUCAAUGCACGAAAGUGUGAAGGAGCGACGCCGCGUGCCGGAUGAAGGCCUUUGGGUCGUAAACGGCUUUUAUAGGGGACGAACAAAUGACGGUACCCUACGAAUAAGUGGUUGCUAACUCUGU